Brassica oleracea var. oleracea is the source of this 911-nucleotide long non-coding RNA. RefSeq lists it as uncharacterized. The transcript has 4 exons. Lineage: Eukaryota; Viridiplantae; Streptophyta; Magnoliopsida; Brassicales; Brassicaceae. The record is from RefSeq and is a predicted model, not a curated record.
CUCGACCAAGUGAUCGGAAUCUGACGGAGGAGACCAAUCAGAAGAGCAAUGACGAGAGCUGUCCUACUCAGUGAGUACAGUAGUUGCAGUUGAGUGAGAGCUCUUCAGUUUCUUUCUUAUUGGCUGGUUCUGGCUCUUCUCUUCAAGGAGCUGCUGCUUCUUGUCAUACUUCUGUUUCGGAGGUACUUGUUGCUGAUUCAGAUACAUCUGAGUACUCUCUCGCUGAACCUUGGGCUAAAUUGGUUGUUUUUGUUCGGAUACAUCCUUGUGUGUUGACUAUUAGAACUACAUCCUUUCCUGUUACCACCAAUAACUGCAGACUCCGAGUCAAAGAAGGCUAUUAUCUCUCAAUUUCAAAGAAGAUCUAGAUACGUGGGACAAUCAAAUCAGGAUACAGAACGACCUGAAAAGUGUAGUUGCAUAAAUGUUUAUGUGCACAGUUGGUGCUACUCGUGCUGCUGUUGAUGCUAGAUAGGUUCCUAAUGACCUUCAUGUAAUAUUUUUUGGAUCUUCUCUUGACUACACUCCAUCCACUGUAACGGCUUUUGAACUCCAGGAAGAGUUUGUGUGUGUGUUAGGUGGGACAAGAGCUAUACAUGGCGUUUGGUGUUUCAGUAGCCAUUCAAUACUUAGAUAAUAACAAAGACGCAGAUGCACCUAUUUUCUAGGUAGAAUGCUGAUUAUGGACUUGUUGGAGAUCUUUUUGAGGUGAUACCCGACUUGCUGGAGAAGCCUCCUGAAAAAAAAUGAGAAAUUCUUAAGCUCUCAGGUGCAGACCACAGUAUAGUAGUAGUGUAUAUAUUGCAAAACUGUAAUAAAAGUGGUCUGAAGAAUCAUUUGUCAUAAGCUCUCUCUCUCUCACUUCUGAUUCUCUGCUACGAAUAUGAUACACAUUUAUUUGCAAAGUGUUC